UGGAGUGAUAUUGUGGAGUGCAUUUUGUGAACUCUCUUUACUCACGUCAUAGAGACUAAGAAAAGAAAUUCAGGCUAGCCAUUACGUCAACAAGUCUUGCGUUUUUAGUUCUUGUCUUCUUAUAACAUAUGUCUUUAAGAUCUGAAGGUCAGUGGCGGCUCGUGAAUUAGGCAAUACAUCACUUACAAUAUUAACUAAAAUAUUAUAAUAUUUGAGGUAUGUUGACUGUCUGCAUACUGAUAAACAUGAUUUAAUACGAUGACAGGUUAAGCCGUUCGCAGAAUAUGUUUUUAAUUCAAAGUUUACGAUGACCCAAAACUGUCUUUGAAGAAUAACAAGAAGAAAACCAGUCAGCUUGAGCGAAUCCGCAGAUGUAAUGGAGUUCCAGGCAAACAAUCCAUUUUCCAAUUUGGGUCGCAUAAACGUGGCAUACAAAACUCAGAGUCUACCAGCAGUGGAAAAAGGAAGCUUAGAAGAUUGUGUAACCGACGGCGCAGUCUUAGACCAUUGAUUGACUGGAAAAAAGGUCUUGGUUGUGGGUCAUUUCCUGUUCCUACACAAGUAGGUGAUGUCUGGCCAGUUAAGCAAUGAUUCGUGAAAGAAAUAGUGAGAAUUGCACGCGUACGGACAGACAAAAGAGACAACGAGCGACCAACAAAAAGAGACAAAACAUGUUUUGUAAAUGAGUUGCCAUAGUGAUGUGAGCACGUAAGCGACGACUAGUUCCAUUUUUCGAGUGAUGUCGCUCGAUUCGAGGUCGUGGUAUCGGCUCUACGCAUGCGCAGGAACGAGCAGUAACACAACCUCAAAGCGGAAAUCCUGUGGCUGUUGUAACGUCACUUCGACGUUGCACAACAUGGGUUUCUUCAGUUACGUGUAUUUUGCUGCGUUACAUUGUUAUGAUCCAUGUUACUGUCACCAUCCGUUUCUGUUAUCGAGUUGUGGUGAUGGAAACAUUUGACAACAACAGAAGCUUGUUUAGGAAAUGCUUUUGUCUUUGGACGAAACACGCCAUUUCGCAUAUC
Zootermopsis nevadensis is the source of this 1025-nucleotide long non-coding RNA. RefSeq lists it as uncharacterized. The record is from RefSeq and is a predicted model, not a curated record. NCBI's taxonomy places the organism in Eukaryota, Metazoa, Arthropoda, Insecta, Blattodea, Termopsidae.